This 332-nucleotide ribosomal RNA is filed under the name unidentified marine eubacterium. RNAcentral's name for it is "bacterial SSU rRNA". It matches the Rfam family "Bacterial small subunit ribosomal RNA", at positions 527 to 863 of the family's 1533-position model. The record is from RNAcentral.
GGAGGGGGCUAGCGUUGUUCGGAUUUACUGGGCGUAAAGCGCACGUAGGCGGAUCGAUCAGUCAGGGGUGAAAGGCCUGGGCUCAACCCGGGAACUGCCUUUGAUACUGUCGAUCUUGAAUCCGGGAGAGGUAAGCGGAAUUCCAAGUGUAGAGGUGAAAUUCGUAGAUAUUUGAAGAACACCAGUGCGAAGGCGGCUUACUGGACCGGUAUUGACGCUGAUGUGCGAAAGCGUGGGGAGCGAACAGGAUUAGAUACCCUGGUAGUCCACGCCGUAAACGAUGAGUGCUAGUUGUCGGGGUUCGGCCUUCGGUGACGCAGCUAACGCGUUAA